Long non-coding RNA from Phyllostomus discolor (pale spear-nosed bat), 150 nucleotides. RefSeq lists it as uncharacterized. The record is from RefSeq and is a predicted model, not a curated record. The transcript is spliced from 2 exons. Lineage: Eukaryota; Metazoa; Chordata; Mammalia; Chiroptera; Phyllostomidae.
CCUGCCCUAGCUGGUGUGGCUCAGUGGACUGAGUGCCAGCCUGUGAAGCAAAGAGUCACUGGUUCGAUUCCCAGUCAGGGCACAUGCCUGGGUUGCAGGCCAGGUCCCCAGGUGGGGGCGUGCGAGAGGCAACCACACAUUGAUGUCUCU